This is a long non-coding RNA of Gallus gallus (chicken), 1922 nucleotides long. NCBI's taxonomy places the organism in Eukaryota, Metazoa, Chordata, Aves, Galliformes, Phasianidae. The record is from Ensembl.
GGCCGUUACCUGCGGGCUGCGCACCUAAACGCGCCGAGGGGAUUUUUCCGGCAGGAGGCUCCGCUAUGAAGGAGAGGUGUGGGGGUGGAACAAGGCCUAAAGCGCGUCCUGCGGCCGCUCGUCGGCGGGUCCCCAUCCCGUCCCUGGGGUUCGCGCCUGUAAGGGUGCUGUGCAGCCCCCGGGGCCAUCUCGUGCACAGCCAGGUGCUCGGGAUGCUGUCGCAAAGCAAGAGGAUGCUCACAGAAAGGGCGAGCCUGGACGUUUUCAACUGUGAGAGGACACAGAAGUUGUAAGCCCUCCUUGCUUAGCUGUGCCCUAUUGACCACGUCAUGUUUCUUCACCAAAGCCCUGACAGCCCUGCUGUCAGCGGAGGCCACCCAAACGCAUGGAAAGGUUGCAGGUUUAGGUGUGCCAAGCUGUGGGAAAUCAGGGCGAGAAGAAGGCAGCAAGAGCACUCAGGAGAUCUGUCCCCUGCGGCGUGGCUGCAUAUGUGCCCCGUGACAUCGCAGUGCUCCUGAGAGCUAUGCCUCUGGAUAUGAAGUUUAUAUGAGUUAAAUCUUUGUUUGCUAAUUCUGAAACAGACUCUCUAUUGAUUUGACUUCCUGUGCUGUAAAACCCUGCUGCUUCCAUGCACAUGCUUCUGGGCCAACUGGGGGUCAACAGAUACUUCCCAGGAAGGAACUUGACGGCUUUUCCUUUCUUCACUUGAAAUGCAAAGUCCUCUCUCUUUGAACGUUAUAGAAAAGUGCAGUAAUGGCAAAGCUACAGGGGAAAUGGAUCCAUAAAUUUAAAAGUGUCACUUCCAACAUCACCAAGUACAGCAAUACGACAUGCAAAUGAAGUUGUUGUGAUGGAGAAUAGCCUGUUGUUUCUGAUAAUUGUCGGUGAAGAAACCAGAAGUGCUGCAAGAAGCCAAGGACGUUUCACCUUCCCGCACUGCCUUGACAGUGAAGAGCUGGGGGACACAAGGAGCUGGUAGAGGACAGAACCAGGACAGCUGGUCCAGGCUGACCAAAGGAAAAUCCCAUACCAUAUGGCAUCAUGCAGAGCAUCAAAUCUGGGGGGAGCUGGGGGGGCUGCCAUUGCUUGGGAAUGGGCUGGGUAUUGGUCAGUGGGUGGUGAGCAAUUGUGUUUUGCAUUGCUUGUUUUCUGAUUGUUUGUUGUUGUUGUUUGCUUUGUUUUGAUUUUUUUUUCCUAUUAAAUUGUCUUUUUCUCAACCCACAAGAUUUCUUUUUUUUCCACCAAUUCUCUUCCCCAUUCCAUUGGGAGUGGGAGUGAGCAAAUGGCUGCGUGAUGCUGAGCUCUCUGCCAAGCUAAACCACAGCAAUCAGUCAGUGAAAGCCAAAAGGCCAUGGCUGGGACCUUUGCACUUCUGAAGUGCUCCUACAGUGUUAUUCAGAAGGUAUGAAUAAAUAUCAAGCAGUACAUAAGCCUUACAUAACAGCCUUGAACAGGAUGCAGUUAGUCCUGAAGUCCUAUUGCCAGGCAGAAGUCCCUAUAAGAAGCCUCAUUUCUGUAGGACAACGUCAUUAUAGCAGGAAGAGACGAGAUUCAUCUCCACACACUUCUGUGAUCUCAAAGCUGGGCACUGGGAAUGAAGGCAGGAGGCAGCAGUCUCUCCAAUCAAAGCAGGAAGAUGUCAGCUCCCGUGACUGAGUGAUUCACCCCAGUCUAAAGAAGGCAGCUGAGACGAAUCAGAUGAGCUGCUCUCUAGAGACUUCUGUCUCUCCACUGACAAUAGAGAGAACCUGGACUACAAGAACAGACACAGUGCUGAACUCUAAGUGGCCAUAAUAAAGUGACAGAAAUCCUAUCUAUCACAAGCACAGACAGUGUUUUAGUGUAAAUCAUUUAAGACAUAAUAAAAACAUUUAGACGAGGAGAAAUCAAGCAUCUUUAUGCAGAGAAGCAAAUACUAAGAG